This 4198-nucleotide long non-coding RNA is filed under the name Anolis carolinensis (green anole). RNAcentral's name for it is "lncRNA (ENSACAG00000040904.1)". The record is from RNAcentral. Lineage: Eukaryota; Metazoa; Chordata; Lepidosauria; Squamata; Anolidae.
UAAAACUGAUAUAAAAAUAUUAUAUUAUAAAACUGAGGGCGGGGGCCAGGUAAAUGACCUUGGAGGGCCGCAUCCGGCCCCCGGGCCUUAGUUUGGGGACCCCUGACAUAUGGUAUAUGAGAGAACAUGAAGCUUCUUUACAGUAAAGGACACAAGGUGCUUAGGAACAUAGAAUGAUUGUCUUAACUGAGUCAGAUCAUUGCUCCAUAUAAUAUUAUGCUGCCGAUUUUGACUGGCAGUGGUUCUCUAGAUUUUCAGAUUGAUUUUUCCCCCCUCAGUCAUCCAUGGAGAUCCCUAAUAUUCCCUGGUGGUUACCCAUUCAAGUACAAAUCAGCUCUGGUCUGAUUCUGAAAUGAGAUGCUAUUGGGUGUAAUUAGGAGAUGUUUCAAUGUUUUUAAUAGAGAGAGUAGCCGUUGGUCAUCAUUCCCUUUAUUAAAUGUAGUGCAAAAUUAAUUUCAUGGUUUCAUUUGUCAUAUUUCAGCGACCUGCAUAACACAGAAAGUUGGGAGAGCAUGGUUUUCAUUCAGCCUACACAGAAGCAGAGAGAAACUUGGCUCAUGCUAAAGCCAGUAAAAAGAAAAUCCUGUUCCCCCUCGUUUGUCCUCAAUGCUCUAGAACUUGAGCCUAGAUGGAAAACUUCUGAAUGUCAGAAUGAACUUCAAGAGAGAAGGAAAACAAGUCAAACUUUGCAAGCCGAAUUCAAGACGGCUUUAGUAGCAUCUAUCUUUAGCUGCGAUAGUGAGUCACAUCAUUGUGAUCUGACUGCAUGGCUAGGCUGAGGUAAUAUGCAGGCCAGGGGAUGGAGACAAAGCAUGAUGGGAUUAAAGCUGUAAAAUUCCACUACUCUCCCUUUCGGGUUACAGAGACUUAAGAGGCUGUGGGUAUUUUUCCGCCAAGGGAUAAUUACAGAGCUCUAAAAGGCACGGAGGCAGAUUUCAUGCUCCAAGGUGUUAUAAAGAAAAAGGAAUCACAUCCAAAAGAUAUCCAGGUUUCUUUGGUUAACAUGUGAGAGUUUCUAUGUCUCUCAGUGUGCAAAAUGUCACAUCCAGCUAGCCCUACCAGCUACUCCAAGCUGAUGCUGGAUUCCCUUGGAUGAUGCCCUGAUGCUUAGCAACAUUGCUAGGCAGCAGGCCAUACAUGAUGCAUAGCGCUGGUGACUGUGUUGUGUGGGGCCAAUUCCUAUUAUUGUCCGUUAAGCUGUAAAAUAUUAAUUUGCUGUUUGCAAAUAAAAACUGUGCCAAGAGGUUAUGAGCCUACGUCUCUUAAUGUUCCCCUCCCUCCCUUCUUCAAUGGCUGACAGCUCACAGUGGAAACUAUGGGCAGCCCCAGGUGAAAUUUAGCCUGAUAUAUGUAAAACAUGGGUGGAAUUCAUGAGAUACAAAUACUUCUCAUGCCUUGGGUAAAAGGCUGACAAGUGCAAACACUUCUCAAGGUGACAUUGUGCAAAUUAUGUGGCAUUUAUGUGCAGGCACUCCAGUGGAUGAGGGAAGAAGUCAUCCUGUUUUGCCCAAUUGCAUAAACACUAGGAUGUGGGGAGCAAUUCAGAGUGAAGAUCCUUUAAGAAUGUGCGAAUCUACUUUCAGAGAACUCUUUAGAUACAUUGAGAUGUUGGUUACACACAUUGGCUCUGCCCCCCAGCAUGCAUGAUUCACAUAGAAGCGGUCUCACUAAAAAUCUUUUUGGGGAGCAUCAGAUGGAGAGCAGAAUUCUGAAAGCACGCAAAACCGUACGUCAUUGCUUGUCAAAAGCCCUGCAUGCUGUUGAGUGUACAUUCUGGUGAUCAUGUGCCCUCUGUUUAGAGGUGGUUGGAGGAUGAGUUCGUUUGAAGUCAUCUUGUAUCUGAAAGGCUGUUCAGUCUAAGGCUGACUCUGCAUCAGGGUUGUAUCCCAAAUCACCUUUCACUUACACCUGUACCAAUCCAGACUAAAAUCAGCUUGACGUUGUAUAGAACCCCCAUUGUGUAUCCACAUUGAUGCAAAGGGAUAUUCCUUCUAUGUGUACAUGUCCACUGCAGAGGAUUGGUUUCAGCUGCCACCAAAAAUAUAGAGGACUCGAGGUGUGCUAGACAGAUCCCCACCCACUGACAGCAAUAUAUGGAGGAUUCAAACUUGUUACCACUACUAACACUGCCACCAAUGUUAUAUUCAGGGGCCUCCUCUGUGUUAGGAUAUUUAGAGAGUCACAUGAGUUGUUGUUUAUUUGUAUUUUAACAGUAAAGAUGUGUAAUGGUUUCAAUAACAAGUCAGGAUUAACUCUUAUAAAGAAUGGUUUUAUAACUUGAAUUCUGUGGAAAUAUGUUCCUUCACACAGGAAAUACAAACACGACUAUUUAAACCUUUAAAUCCACUUCUCCUGGAAUUUAACACCAGCACUCUAAACUAUAGAGUCUCAAUAUAGUUCUCAGCCUUUCUUCUCUGAAAGCUUUAACCAUAUUCCUCAAGGAGGUUUCUUUUUUAAAGCACAGUUUCCAAACUUAUCUCUGUCUUCACACUUUAAAAACCUACCCCCAACUGAAAAGAAUUGCUUGGCUGCAUAGCUCCAACUGUCACUUUGGCUUCGCCUAUCUCCAGUUGCUAAUCAACUCUCCUCAUUUACAUCAGCCAAUCAGACUGCACUUCAAUAAUGGCUGCCUGAUCGUUCCUCCCCCUUGCUCUGCUUAGCUUUUGCAAGCAAGGCCUGAAAACUAUCUAUACACCAACUUUGUAAGGUAGGCUAAUCCAUUACAUCCACUAUAUUGGUUGAUGUCCAGUCACAUGACCUCAACAGCUGUGUUUUUAAAUAAAUCCUGCCACAAAAGCAUAGAGUUGCUUAAUCAAAUAGCUUUUGUUUUCCCAUUAUUCCGCUUGCCCACCUGCAAUUCAAUAAAGUGAAGCCUGUAAAGCUGGUGGAGGUGAAAUGCCAACCUUUGUAUGUAAGCAAUUGUGAAUAUGGGAAGGCAAUACUACCUUUUCCACUUGCUGAUCCAUAUAAGGGAGCUACCGUUCUGUGGUAAGAGCAAUCAAGUGGCCAUCCACCGAUCUAGUUGCUCUUAAGCACUCCUGAUUGCACCACAACCCCCCAUUUGGUGCUCAAAGCACACUUUCAAAACAAAGGGUUCUUCCCCAAACAAGCAGGUUGUUAAAAUCAUCUUAAGCCCCCAGGCAUUGAAAACAAUUGGAACAAGAGAAAUGCCACAUGUUCCAGGAGGACUAAGAUUGAGGUACGGAGGCAUAAUUUAUCCUGUGUAUGUUCUGCCCAGGUCCAGUUUCAUCUUAAGGCAUCUGAAAGGAGAGAACAGUGAACAUAAACCUGGCGAACAACCAUUACUACUUGGAGUACAGAUUGAGCAAGCACACAAGUUACCAGUAUGGGACGGACCAGAAUCAUCUUAACUCUAUCAUUCCAAGUUGCCUUGCUACCUAGUGUGACACACUGUACAUUUAAAUGAUGCAAAAUGUUUCUGAAUUUGAAACUAGAUGUGUAAGUGUCCAUAUGUAUAUCUUAUUGAAUUCUGCAUGGCCUUUUGUCACCUCGCUCUCAGGCCCCUUCCACACAGCUGAAUAAAAUCCCACAUUAUCUGCAUUGAACUGGAAAAUAUGGCAUGUGCACUCAGAUAACCCAGUUCAAAGCAGAUAUUGUGGGAUUUUCUGCCUUGAUAUUCUGGAUUAUAUGACUGUGUGGAAGGGCCCUCAUUCUCCCUUUUUUAAGAUAGUCACUUGAGGUUAGGGACUGUUCUAUAAGUCAUUUAAUCAAAUAGAAAUAUAAAUUUUAGAUUUAUAUCCAGUCCAAUCUGAGGGUUCAGGAAAGGUUACAGGAUUACAUGAUUUUCCUGUUGCAAGGGAUUAUAAUUCUAAUUGUAUUGCUGUGUGCUCUCUACUUCUGACCAAUGAGAACUUCGAGAGGCAGCGGUACGGGAUUUAAUUUUCUUUGGGGAAGAUUACGCUGGAGACUUCUGAUAUCUUUGUAAUGUGUGCUUCAGUUACAAGUAGACCAUAAACGGAGACCAAUGCAAUCCUAUAAACAGUAUAAUCUACAUCAGAUUUCUCAAAAAUAACCUGUGUGAUCUCUUCAAUAUUACAUUCCUGAUUCUGGCUAACUGAUGCUACAAAAUUCUCAGCGCUCUCUUUUAAACUCAUAAACAGCCAUCCGGGCCUUCAUUCCCGAUUUUCUUGCAAUAAAUAUGAACAGCAAAGAUAAAUGCAGUAAUUUACAACAAAAC